This 928-nucleotide ribosomal RNA is filed under the name Tetraclitella sp. MSL-Tetra-HO1-1. RNAcentral describes it as "partial 16S ribosomal RNA". The stretch from base 412 to 654 matches the Rfam family "Archaeal large subunit ribosomal RNA", at positions 1786 to 2143 of the family's 2987-position model. The record is from RNAcentral. Lineage: Eukaryota; Metazoa; Arthropoda; Thecostraca; Balanomorpha; Tetraclitidae.
UUAUGACUUGAAAAUAAAAGAUCUAAUUGAAUUUUUUAGUUUUUGUUUCAAAAAGAUUAAAAAAGUUGAUUUAGGGGUGAAAUACUUGUCGCUUUUAUUAGUAUCUAGUAACUUUAGAAAUAAAUUUAGUUUUUUGUAUUGGGAAUUUUCUUAUUUUUAGUAAAUUUUUUAUAUAUAAUAAUUUUUUAGGGGAUGAGCUCUAAGAAAAAAUUAAAAGAGAAAAAAUUUUUUGUUUUUUUUGUAGGUUUAGAAUUGACCAUGGGAAAGUGUUAUAAGAUAAAAAUGAAAGUUUAUGAUUUAUUUUUCUUUUAGGUUUAUGAAGUUAAUUUAAAAUAAAAAGAGAAGUGAAAAUAUGGUAGUAUAAGUAGAUAAGAGAAUAGAGAAAAAUUUUAAAUUUUUUCUUUAAAUUUUUUUGAAAUAAUUUAAAUAAAAGAAUUCGGCAAAGGGGAUUUUCGAAUGUUUAACAAAAACAUUUCCUCUGGAAGAAAGGAGGUAAGGUCUGCUCACUGAGAAUUGAAGAGCCGCAGUAUACUGACUGUGCUAAGGUAGCAUAAUCAUUAGUCUUUUAAUUGGAGACUGGUAUGAAUGGCUAAACGAGAAAUCUACUUUUUUUAUUUAAGGAAUUGAAUUUAAUUUUUUAGUGAAAAAGCUAAAAUUUUUCAGAAAGACGAGAAGACCCUAUAGAGUUUAUAUACUGCGAAAAAUUUUUUUAAAAUGGGUUUUAGAAAAAUAGUUUUCUUGUAGUAUUUUGUUGGGGCGACAUAAAGAUAAGAGAAACUCUUUAUAAAAAAAACUAAAAUAAAAGGAUUCUUGAUCCUCUAAAAGAGAUUAAAAGAAAAAUUACCUUAGGGAUAACAGCGUAAUCUUUUUUGAGAGUUCUAAUCGACAAGAAGGUUUGCGACCUCGAUGUUGGACUAAAAUUUAAGCA